Molecule: ribosomal RNA, 466 nt
Filed under: uncultured bacterium
Lineage: Bacteria
Description: partial 16S ribosomal RNA
Rfam family: Bacterial small subunit ribosomal RNA
Source: RNAcentral
GAUGAACGCUGGCGGCGUGCUUAACACAUGCAAGUCGAACGGAAAGGCUCCUGCUUGCAGGGGUACUCGAGUGGCGAACGGGUGAGUAACACGUGGGUGAUCUGCCCUGCACUUCGGGAUAAGCCUGGGAAACUGGGUCUAAUACCGGAUAGGACGAUGGUUUGGAUGCCAUUGUGGAAAGUUUUUUCGGUGUGGGUUGAGCUCGCGGCCUAUCAGCUUGUUGGUGGGGUAAUGGCCUACCAAGGCGUCGACGGGUAGCCGGCCUGAGAAGGUGUACGGCCACAUUGGGACUGAGAUACGGCCCAGACUCCUACGGGAGGCAGCAGUGGGGAAUAUUGCACAAUGGGCGCAAGCCUGAUGCAGCGACGCCGCGUGGGGGAUGACGGCCUUCGGGUUGUAAACUCCUUUCGCUAGGGACGAAGCGCAAGUGACGGUACCUGGAGAAGAAGCACCGGCUAACUACGUG